AGCGUGCAUAAACAUGCAAGUCGAACGAUGAAGCAUUCUUCGGAAUGUGGAAGAGUGGCGAACGGGUGAGGAACACGUAAGAAUCUGCCCCUCAGUCGGGGACAACCCUUGGAAACGAGGGCUAAUACCCGAUACGCUGUGGAGUGAAAGAAUUUCGCUGAGGGAUGAUCUUGCGUCUGAUUAGCUAGUUGGUGUGGUAAUGGCACACCAAGGCGACGAUCAGUAGCUGGUCUGAGAGGAUGAACAGCCACAUUGGAACUGAGACACGGUCCAAACUCCUACGGGAGGCAGCAGUGGGGAAUUUUCCGCAAUGGACGAAAGUCUGACGGAGCGACGCUGCGUGAAGGAUGACGGCCUGCGGGUUGUAAACUUCUUUUCUCGAAGAAGAAGCUCUGACGGUAUUCGAGGAAUAAGCAUCGGCUAACUCCGUGCCAGCAGCCGCGGUAAGACGGAGGAUGCAAGUGUUAUUCGGAAUGAUUGGGCGUAAAGAGUCUGUAGGCUGUAUGGAAAGUCUUUUGUUAAAUGCCUCGGCUCAACCGAGAUCCAGCAAAGGAAACUUCUAUACUUGA
This 569-nucleotide ribosomal RNA is filed under the name uncultured bacterium. Its description in RNAcentral is "bacterial SSU rRNA". It matches the Rfam family "Bacterial small subunit ribosomal RNA", at positions 41 to 645 of the family's 1533-position model. The record is from RNAcentral.